Non-coding RNA from Phalacrocorax carbo (great cormorant), 3923 nucleotides. The record is from RefSeq and is a predicted model, not a curated record. Lineage: Eukaryota; Metazoa; Chordata; Aves; Suliformes; Phalacrocoracidae.
CUUUCACUUUCACAAUGCAACUUUCAAUGCAACUUUCACAACUGUACAUCCAAUUUUUAUUACAACAGAGUGAGGUCUUGUGGCUGCCAUUAUCAGAGGUAUUUUCUGUACAGCUACAUAUUAAACUUUUGUGAAAGUAACCAAAACCCAUUAGUCACUAGCAUAUUUCUUACUACUGUACUGGCCAAGGAUUACUUCAAUACUUAUUUUAAUGGAUUGCUCAGCUAUGAACGAUUUUAAGGUUAGAGGUCUUGCAAGAGCCCUUUUAUAAGCUUUCUGAAAUCUAAUCUAUCACUAAUUUCCAUAUGUCUCACACAGUACUAGGCUAAUGUAAUGCAUCACCACAUAAAUCCAUCCCUGAGAAAAUUAUCCUGUGUAUUACAAAAAUUCAAAGCAUUGUUCUUAACUACGUGUGCUUUUUUCAGAUGUCUCACUAGUUGAGACAUAAGCUUAGUGUGUUAAAGAUUUUUUUUCCUUAAUGAUAGCUGGAAUAGGAAGACGACACCUGGCAGUUUAGAUUUUGCAUGUCAGCAAAUGUCACAGACAGAAGUGGCUUUUUUAAUGACACCUCUUAAUAGAGAACAACUACCUUCCUCCUCUUGUAUCCCCAGACUGAAUUUUUGGCCCCAGUUCUAGUGUUUUUCAUCCCACAAGCCAACCUGCUUCCUCUAGCACCAUGUAAAACACUGAUGUGACUCCUUUGCUCUUUCAUCAUUGAUUUCCCCAAAUAAUUUUGCCAUUCUCUACUACCCAGGAUGUACAACCACCAGUCUAAGCAUCAACAGUGCUCUCCUGAUGUGCUGCAGAUAGGUUGGUACAGAGCUGAUGGAGCACAGCAGCAGUAUCGUCACCUUGUUGGCUCUCCAGCCAUGAUCUCCAGCAAAGGAGACGGGUAACAGAGUCAUCCAACUAAUUUUGUUACGUACCACAGCUGCGUGCUGAGCUAAGGCCAGAAAGCUUUUUGCCUUCUCUAUCCUUGGGUCACUAAGAAAUUUCCUAUAAAUGGUGGGAGAAGGGCAACACGAGAAGCCAGGCCAGGUCUACCAUGGUAUAUGUUAUGUUAGGGGAAAGUUUGUGUCUGAAUGCAGAGUCUAAGAGAAGCAGGCAAAAAGUUGAUUUUAUCAAGUGUAAGGAAAGCUUGAAAAUACAAGCCUGUUAGCACCUCACAAAGUCAGUACAACACCUGCAAGAGUAUAGAAGAGGAGAUAAACAAACUGGAAAGGAAGCCUUGUUAGCACAUUGGUAAAAAAUAUGGUAAUGGAAAAAAAAAUCUCAUGUGGAGUUGUAUGCAAUGAUUGUGGCAAGAGAAAUCAUUAUAUCAAAGCCUGCAGACAAGAAAAGACAAGAAAAAAAUAUACACUCUGUUAAGUGAACAGUGAUUCAGACACAGAGACUGUGCAAGUAUCUGACAUUACCCCAGCAAAACUGCAAAAAAUUGUUUACCUUAAGCUAUCUUCAGAUGCAAGAACUGGCCCCACGCAGCCCCCUGGGAAGCAGCACACUGCGGAGGAGCCUCGGCACGUUACCUGCAGGGAAUUUGAGUAACUUCCCCAGGAGUUACCAUUAAUGACAAGAUUUGCAUCACAUUAUUAAACUAAUAUUGCUGAGAAUGAUGUGACCAGAAUAACUAUUCAUGCCUCAUGGCCAUAAGUUAUUUAUGCUGACCCCACCUCUAUCCCUCCCCCUGUACUGCCUCAUCUGUGCUGACAUUUCUUCAUGAAUAUUUAAGUGACUCUUGCCUGGAGAGCGCUCCCUGCAUUUGAAAAGCUCUCCUUGCAUAUAACCCCCCGGAAACACCACUGUGAGUAGCUUUACCUGUUACACAAAUUACACCAGCUUGUUGCAAGACUUGGAGAGUUUUCAUCACCACUGGCAGUAUCAGAGAAACGCCACCGUAAUUUUAGCUGCAGGCAAAGUCACCCGGCUACUGCCCUUGGGCUAUGUUGGGACACAGGCAGGAGCCAUGCAGGUGACAGCCACACUGAGAGUGGGGACAUCCUUGUGUGCCAUUGUGACCAUGGGCUCUGGCUGUAAUGUUACUGUCUGUUCAGAACAUCCUCUAAAUAAAAUCCUGUGUAUUGUUCACAAUUUUUACAUCUGGGGACUCUCCCAGGGAACCUCCCAUUAUGCCUUUGGUAGAAAAUAAAUACUGUAAGUGCUCCUAAGAGUAUUAAUGAUAUAACACCUCUGUUGUGCAAACCCAUUAAUAUUCUCUCACAUUAAGUUUGGCUUUUGCUAUAUUCAGAUGCUGGACAAAGCAGACAUUCUCCAGGGUGCUUCAUAUGUGUAUUCAGGAGCUAAACAAUAACCUGCAUCAUUUCUGUCGUUGCAAAUAUUAAUUUCAAUGUAUUUGAGAAAUCAUGAUCUUCAAAACAUACAAACAAAAGUUAGGGGGGUUUUGUGGUUAUAUAGUUGAAAUAUGCAUGUAGAAAUAACUGGAAAGUGUUCUGGUGGAUGGUCUCAGCUUGUCUCCCUUUUAAAGGGAAAUAGCGAAGGAACUAAAGGCCAGUUUGAACCUGCAGAGGAUCUAACGAGAUGUUGGCACUCAACACUAGAGUUUGCAAAACAGUAUGUUCUGUUUAACUUAAAAAAAUAUUCAUUGCAGACAGUGAUACAGUGAACUUGCCAGAUGAGAAGGAGAUUCCUUUACCCAAACAGUGAUCAGACAUCAGAACAGGCAACCUCCUCGCCUUCAGCGUGUUUUAUUCACAGCACAGUCUGCAAAUCCUCUGUGCUGCUUUGCUGGCAUAAAGAGCCAUCAAGUGAUGAAGAGCUUCAGGAGAGGCCAAGUGAGGCAUGCUGUGGCAUUUCAGAGCCUCUCCCCGUUGCUCACCAGUCCCCGGGCAGCAGCAAAGCUGGGCACUGCAGACGCCUGGCUCUGCUCCAGCUCAGCCUUUGCUGGCACCCUGCACCAUACAGCAAGUGAGAGCUGGUGCCAAAUGCACUAUAGCACAACCUGCUGUUCUCUUGUUCUCUCCAUUACAACUGAGAUGUUUGAAACGUAUCCCUGCUUUUGUUCACCGGCAUGUUGGCAACAAGGUACGGAAUCUAGGAGAGCAUCACAUGGGGCGUAACGACAGGGUAAAUGUUAUUUUCGUGACCAGCUGGGUAGAUGAAGGGAGAGCAGUGGGUAUUUUUUACCUUGACUUCAGCAAGACUUUUGACACUGUCUCCCAUAACACCCUCAUAGGAACCUUAGGAAGUGUGGCUUAGGUGAGAGGACAGUGAGGUGGAUUGUGAACUGACUGAACAGCAGAGCUCAGAGGGUCAUGAUCAACGGCACAGAGUUUAGUUAGAGGCCCAUAACUAGUGGUGCUCCCAGGGGUCUGUGCUGGGUCCAGUCCUGUUCAACAUAGUCAUCAACGGCCUGGAUGAUGGCACAGAGUGUAACCUCAGCAAGGUCACUGACGAUACCAAGCGGGGAGGAGCGGCUGAUACACCAGAAGGCUGUGCUGCCGUCCAACGAGACCUGGACAGGCUGGAGAGCUGGGCCGAGGGGAACCUCAUGAAAUUCAACAAAAGCAAGUGCAAGGUCCCGCACCUGGGGAGGAACAACCCCCCACACCAGGACAGGCUGGGGGCUGACCUGCUGGAAAGCAGCUCUGCUGAGAAGGACCUGGGAGUGCUGGUGGGCAGAAAGGUGACCCUGAGCCAGCACCGUGCCCUUGUGCCCAAGAAGGCCAACGGUGUCCUGGGGUGCAUAAAAAGGAGUGUGGCCGGCAGAUCGAGAGAGGUUAUCCUCCCCCUCCACUCUGCCCUAGUGACACCACAGCUGGAGUGCUGUGUCUAGUUCUGGGCUUAAGCAAGUCCAGCGGAGAGCUACCAAGAUGAUCAGGGGACUGUAGCAUCUCCCUUAUGAGGAAAGGCUGAGAGACCUGGGUUUGUUCAGCCUGGGGAAGAGAAGGCUGAGGGGGGAUCUUAUC